CCUUAGAGGCUAAAUGACAUGAGCUAAAGUUAGUAGAGCUGAAUGUAGAAUCAAUAGAUCUACUGAAUGGUUGCAUAUUUGCAUAGAGUUGCAUGAUAUACAUAUUGCAUAUUGCGAGGCAUGUUAUCUGUUAGUUGCAUAUAUGAUAUAUAUAUCUAUAGAUGUUUUUGGACUAACAUGAUUGCAGUGCCUCUUUGGACCUUUGGGUCGAGCUUUUCCCUUGGGUGGCCGUACCCACUGGGAACCAUGAAGUUGGUUCUCACCCCACGUUGUUUUGGGGUUUUACAGGUUCGCACGUGAGCGGCGCGGCGGCGCGAGGAAAGGGCGUAGAUCCAUAGAUAGCGCCCUACCCAGAGACCAGAGCUAGCAGUACCCCGUCGACAUAGCUUAGGGGUAUGGGGAAAGAAAAGAACACAAUGUAUCAAACUGUAAUAAGUAAAUGAUGUAAUAACUUAGAUUGUAUUUGGAGGAAUCAAAUGAGAACUGUGAUAUAAAAAUGUAUGAAUGUGAAUGUAUGUAAUAACAUAGGAUGUGUUAUGUUGUUGAUACCUUCCUUAUGCAAUCUGUUGUUAAGUACUGUUCCUGGUUGGAACCUUUGUAUUGUAUUGAUUGCGAUGCCUUGAACGUACAGGGGAGACUCUGUCCGCAGUACAGGGGAAACCCUGUCCGUUCGGCGCUGUCGGCGCCGCGACCUCGGCCAAAUAGGCGGGUGGUCGCG
This 718-nucleotide long non-coding RNA is filed under the name Ananas comosus (pineapple). Its description in RNAcentral is "long non-coding RNA (ACOM_LNC036145)". The record is from RNAcentral. Lineage: Eukaryota; Viridiplantae; Streptophyta; Magnoliopsida; Poales; Bromeliaceae.